AGCAGUCGCCACGGGAAUACGUAGGGUGCGAGCGUUAAUCGGAAUUACUGGGCGUAAAGCGUGCGCAGGCGGUUCGUUAAGACAGAUGUGAAAUCCCCAGGCUUAACCUGGGAACUGCAUUUGUGACUGGCGAGCUAGAGUAUGGCAGAGGGGGGUAGAAUUCCACGCGUAGCAGUGAAAUGCGUAGAUAUGUGGAGGAAUACCGAUGGCGAAGGCAGCCCCCUGGGAUAACACUGACGCUCAUGCACGAAAGCGUGGGGAGCAAACAGGAUUAGAUACCCGAGUAGUCCCUGUCUCUUAUAC
This 303-nucleotide ribosomal RNA is filed under the name uncultured bacterium. RNAcentral's name for it is "partial 16S ribosomal RNA". It matches the Rfam family "Bacterial small subunit ribosomal RNA", at positions 507 to 807 of the family's 1533-position model. The record is from RNAcentral.